This 76-nucleotide transfer RNA is filed under the name bacterium. Its description in RNAcentral is "tRNA-Arg". It matches the Rfam family "tRNA". From Rfam's summary of the family: Transfer RNA (tRNA) molecules are approximately 80 nucleotides in length. Their secondary structure includes four short double-helical elements and three loops (D, anti-codon, and T loops). The record is from RNAcentral. RNAcentral also lists the same sequence under 10 other names.
GCGCUCGUAGCUCAGUGGAUAGAGCAACAGGUUGCGGACCUGUAGGUCGGAGGUUCGAGUCCUCUCGAGCGCGCCA